RNAcentral lists this ribosomal RNA (555 nucleotides) under uncultured bacterium. RNAcentral describes it as "bacterial SSU rRNA". It matches the Rfam family "Archaeal small subunit ribosomal RNA", at positions 726 to 1275 of the family's 1478-position model. The record is from RNAcentral.
AGUAAAUAGAUACCCGGGUAGUCCUAGCCGUAAACGAUACUCGCUAGGUGUCGGCCACGGUGCGACCGUUGUCGGUGCCGUAGGGAAAGCCGUGAAGCGAGCCACCUGGGAAGUACGGCCGCAAGGCUGAAACUUAAAGGAAUUGGCGGGGGAGCACCACAACGGGUGGAGCUUGCGGUUUAAUUGGAUUCAACGCCGGAAAUCUUACCGGGACCGACAGCAACAUGAAGGCCAGGCUGAAGACUUUGCCGGAUUAGCUGAGAGGUGGUGCAUGGCCGUCGUCAGUUCGUACUGUGAAAGCAUCCUGUUAAGUCAGGCAACGAGCGAGACCCACGCCCACAGUUGCCAGCGUACUCUCCGGAGUGACGGGUACACUGUGGGGACCGCCGCUGCUAAAGCGGAGGAAGGAAUGGGCAACGGUGGGUCAGUAUGCCCCGAAUAUCCCGGGCUACACGCGAGCUACAAUGGUUGGUACAAUGGGUAUCUACCCCGAAAGGGGAUGGAAAUCUCCUAAAGCCAAUCUUAGUUCGGAUUGAGGGGCUGCAACUCGCCCUC